GACAACAUCACUGACAGGAUAUAGAAUACACCUGGACAACAUCACUGACAGGAUAUAGAAUACACCACCUGGACAACAUCACUGACAGGAUAUAGAAUACACCUGGACAACAUCACUGACAGGAUAUAGAAUACACCACAUGGACAAUGUGUCUGACACAGAUUUAACUGUGUGGACAACAUUACUGACAGAUUCAAACCAGGUGGACAUCAAUCUGUCUGAUAUGGACAGGAGACAGCCUCACUGCUCUGAUGACCUGCAGAGAGGAGAGGAGACAAACAGACAGA
Long non-coding RNA from Oncorhynchus tshawytscha (Chinook salmon), 287 nucleotides. RefSeq lists it as uncharacterized. The transcript is spliced from 2 exons. NCBI's taxonomy places the organism in Eukaryota, Metazoa, Chordata, Actinopteri, Salmoniformes, Salmonidae. The record is from RefSeq and is a predicted model, not a curated record.